RNAcentral lists this ribosomal RNA (353 nucleotides) under uncultured bacterium. RNAcentral describes it as "bacterial SSU rRNA". It matches the Rfam family "Bacterial small subunit ribosomal RNA", at positions 29 to 372 of the family's 1533-position model. The record is from RNAcentral.
AACGAACGCUGGCGGCGCGCCUAAUACAUGCAAGUCGAGCGAGAAGACGUAGCAAUACGUUUGUAAAGCGGCGAACGGGUGAGGAAUACAUGGGUAACCUACCCUCGAGUGGGGAAGUAACUAGCCGAAAGGUUAGCUAAUACCGCGUACGCUCCUUGGACUUCGGUUCAGGGAGGAAAGCGAUACCGUGGGUAUCGCGCUCUUGGAUGGGCUCAUGUCCUAUCAGCUUGUUGGUGAGGAACGGCUCACCAAGGCUUCGACGGGUAGCUGGUCUGAGAGGACGAUCAGCCACACUGGCACUGCGACACGGGCCAGACUCCUACGGGAGGCAGCAGUAAGGAAUAUUGCGCAAU